This 499-nucleotide ribosomal RNA is filed under the name uncultured bacterium. Its description in RNAcentral is "partial 16S ribosomal RNA". It matches the Rfam family "Bacterial small subunit ribosomal RNA", at positions 30 to 523 of the family's 1533-position model. The record is from RNAcentral.
AUUGAACGCUAGCGGGAUGCCUUACACAUGCAAGUCGAACGGCAGCGCGGACUUCGGUCUGGCGGCGAGUGGCGAACGGGUGAGUAAUGUAUCGGAACGUGCCCAGUAGCGGGGGAUAAAUACUCGAAAGAGUAGCUAAUACCGCAUACGCCCUACGGGGAAAAGGGGGGGAUCGCAAGACCUCUCACUAUUGGAGCGGCCGAUAUCGGAUUAGCUAGUUGGUGAGGUAAAGGCUCACCAAGGCGACGAUCCGUAGCUGGUUUGAGAGGACGACCAGGCACACUGGGACUGCGACACAGCCCAGACUCCUACGGGAGGCAGCAGUGGGGAAUUUUGGACAAUGGGGGCAACCCUGAUCCAGCCAUUUCGCGUGUGCGAUGAAGGCCGUCGGGUUGUAAAGCACUUUUGGCAUGAAAGAAAUCGCACGGAUUAAUACUCUGUGUGGAUGACGGUACCUGCAGAAUAAGCACCGGCUAACUUCGUGCCAGCCGCCCCGUAA